This 1577-nucleotide small RNA is filed under the name Pongo abelii (Sumatran orangutan). RNAcentral's name for it is "retained intron". The record is from RNAcentral. Lineage: Eukaryota; Metazoa; Chordata; Mammalia; Primates; Hominidae.
AGCUUCUUCUCUGCCCCAAGAGUGGUAGCCUUCGUGGCAGGGCACGACUCUCUCCCAGCUCGGGUAGCCGCCCACAUUAGUGUGGGGCCCUGCGGCCUAGCGUCCCUCACCAGAGGCCUCCCCUUGCCCAGCUGGACCGCCAAGGGACAUCGACGAGUACCCUCCUCCUGCUGUCCCCGGCUUCGCCUGCCGCCCCUAACCGGCCAGUUAAGAUGGCCGCCGCUGGGUGAAGCGAGCUGGCGCGCCGCGGGGGCGUCUGGGAGUUGUAGUCCGGGACGGCGGGCUGACGCACUUCGCCGCCGGCCGACGGGCGCCAUUGUGCGGCGCGCGCCGGAGUAUCCUGAGCUCCAGCUGGACCCUAAAUUGGAUCCUCUUCCUGCUGAGAGUCCCCUGAUGAACAUUGAGGUUGUUGAGGUCCUCACACUGAACCAGGAGGUGGCCGGUCCCCGGAAUGCCCAGAUCCAGGCCCUAUAUGCUGAAGAUGGAAGCCUGAGCGCAGAUGCCCCCAGUGAGCAGGUCCAACAGCAGGGCAAGCAUCCAGGUGACCCUGAGGCUGCGCGCCAGAGGUUCCGGCAGUUCCGUUAUAAGGACAUGACAGGUCCCCGGGAGGCCCUGGACCAGCUCCGAGAGCUGUGUCACCAGUGGCUACAGCCUAAGGCACGCUCCAAGGAGCAGAUCCUGGAGCUGCUGGUGCUGGAGCAGUUCCUAGGUGCACUGCCUGUGAAGCUCCGGACAUGGGUGGAAUCACAGCACCCAGAGAACUGCCAAGAGGUGGUGGCCCUGGUAGAGGGUGUGACCUGGAUGUCUGAGGAGGAAGUACUUCCUGCAGGACAACCUGCCGAGGAUACCACCUGCUGCCUCGAGGUCACUGCCCAGCAGGAGGAGAAGCAGAAGGAGGAUGCGGCCAUCUGCCCAGUGACAGUGCUCUCUGAGGUAAGCGGGGAGUAUCACCCUGUUUUGGUCACAGCAUCUCCUGUGAGGCAGGCCCACCCCUGAGGUAUCCACUCUGCCCUGGGCUUUCCUAAGACCUCCCACAGGCUGGGGCAUUCUGAGAUUCUGAGCUCUUAGGUCUGUGCUGAAGCAAUCUGAGUAUGAAGAGCAGCCCUGCCCUCCAGCCGCUGUGGCAUCAUUGGAGACAAGGCAUGGUGACCCAGGAGCUGAGAAAGGAGGAGGCAAAAGGGAAGGGACUAAGUGUUUACAGAGACUUGAGAGGUGGAACUACCACAGGCAGGCACAUCGGUAUCCAGGUCAGAACAAGAAAGCCCUCAGCCUUCAGAAAUGCAUACUUAGGUAUUUAUCUUUGGUAUCUGGGAUUUGCUUCAGAAUAACCCAGAGCUGGGGUGUGGGUGAAAAAGAUUGGUCCUGAUGCGCUGUAUACUCAGGUCCUGGGGUAGUGGUAUGUAUGUGUCAUUGGUCAGAACUGUUUGCACUGCAAGUGGCUUAUACUGGCUCAAGCAUAGAAGUAAAUUUAUUGGCUCUCGUGUAUUCUCUGGUAGGCUUCAGGCAAGGCUGCAUCCAGGUGCUCCCAGGUGAUGGGAAGAGUCUCUGGCCAACCUGUUUCAUGGCUCUGCUUUCUC